AAGACUAUAGACCUGCGGAGUACCUGCGGAAGGAUCAUUACCGAGUUUACAACUCCCAAACCCAAUGUGAACGUUACCAAACUGUUGCCUCGGCGGGGUCACGCCCCGGGUGCGUCGCAGCCCCGGAACCAGGCGCCCGCCGGAGGAACCAACCAAACUCUUUCUGUAGUCCCCUCGCGGACGUUAUUUCUUACAGCUCUGAGCAAAAAUUCAAAAUGAAUCAAAACUUUCAACAAUGGA
RNAcentral lists this unclassified non-coding RNA (240 nucleotides) under soil metagenome. RNAcentral describes it as "partial contains 5.8S ribosomal RNA, internal transcribed spacer 2, and large subunit ribosomal RNA". The record is from RNAcentral.